CGCGAAUGGCUCAUUACAACAGCCAAAUUUUACUGGAAUAUAGUUAUCUUACUUGGAUAACCGUGGCAAUUCUAGAGCUAAUACAUGCAAAAAAGCUCUGACCGCAAGGAACGAGCGCAUUUAUUAGAAUAAAAACCAAUCGGGUUUCGGCCCGUAAUUUGGUGAAUCUAAAUAACUUUGCCAAUCGCACAGUCCUAGUACUGGCGAUGUAUCCUUCAAAUGUCUGCCUUAUCAACUUUCGAUGGUAGGUUAUACGCCUACCAUGGUAGUAACGGGUAACGGAGAAUAAGGGUUCGACUCCGGAGAGUUCGCCUGAGAAAUCGCGAACACAUCUAAGGAAGGCAGCAGGCGCGAAAAUUACCCACUCUCAGCACGAGGAGGUAGUGACGAAAAAUAACGAGACCGUUCUCUUAUGAGGCCGGUCAUCGGAAUGGGUACAAUUUAAACCCUUUAACGAGUAUCUAUGAGAGGGCAAGUCUGGUGCCAGCAGCCGCGGUAAUUCCAGCU
This 507-nucleotide ribosomal RNA is filed under the name Calcaridorylaimus castaneae. Its description in RNAcentral is "bacterial SSU rRNA". It matches the Rfam family "Eukaryotic small subunit ribosomal RNA", at positions 88 to 590 of the family's 1831-position model. The record is from RNAcentral. Lineage: Eukaryota; Metazoa; Nematoda; Enoplea; Dorylaimida; Dorylaimidae.